UAUCUUGGCACUAUCUCUAAC
RNAcentral lists this microRNA (21 nucleotides) under Glycine max (soybean). Its description in RNAcentral is "gma-miR9724b". The record is from miRBase by way of RNAcentral. Lineage: Eukaryota; Viridiplantae; Streptophyta; Magnoliopsida; Fabales; Fabaceae.